Molecule: small nuclear RNA, 23 nt
Filed under: Arabidopsis thaliana (thale cress)
Lineage: Eukaryota; Viridiplantae; Streptophyta; Magnoliopsida; Brassicales; Brassicaceae
Description: snRNA_15630
Source: RNAcentral
GGUCUCUGUUUCAAUCUUGUCCU